Molecule: ribosomal RNA, 119 nt
Filed under: Pteropus alecto (black flying fox)
Lineage: Eukaryota; Metazoa; Chordata; Mammalia; Chiroptera; Pteropodidae
Also listed under: 1 other name
Source: RNAcentral
GUCUACGGCCAUGCCACUCUGAACAUGCCCGAUCCCAUCUGAUCUCAGAAGCUAAGCAGGGUUGGGCCUGGUUAGUACUUGGAUGGGAGACCACAUAGGAAGACCAGGUGCUGGAGGUG